UACGGGGGGGGCAAGCGUUGUUCGGAAUUACUGGGCGUAAAGGGCGCGUAGGCGGCCGCCUAAGUCAGACGUGAAAUCCCUCGGCUCAACCGGGGAACUGCGUCUGAUACUGGGUGGCUUGAAUUCGGGAGAGGGAUGCGGAAUUCCAGGUGUAGCGGUGAAAUGCGUAGAUAUCUGGAGGAACACCGGUGGCGAAGGCGGCAUCCUGGACCAACACUGACACUGAUGAGCGAAAGCCAGGGGAGCAAACGGG
Molecule: ribosomal RNA, 253 nt
Filed under: uncultured bacterium
Lineage: Bacteria
Description: partial 16S ribosomal RNA
Rfam family: Bacterial small subunit ribosomal RNA
Source: RNAcentral